GAACUACCGUGUGCUAUAGUGCAAGUCGAGCGACAGAUAAGGAGCUUGCUCCUUUGACGUUAGCGGCGGACGGGUGAGUAACACGUGGAUAACCUACCUAUAAGACUGGGAUAACUUCGGGAAACCGGAGCUAAUACCGGAUAACAUAUUGAACCGCAUGGUUCAAUAGUGAAAGGCGGCUUUGCUGUCACUUAUAGAUGGAUCCGCGCCGUAUUAGCUAGUUGGUAAGGUAACGGCUUACCAAGGCAACGAUACGUAGCCGACCUGAGAGGGUGAUCGGCCACACUGGAACUGAGACACGGUCCAGACUCCUACGGGAGGCAGCAGUAGGGAAUCUUCCGCAAUGGGCGAAAGCCUGACGGAGCAACGCCGCGUGAGUGAUGAAGGUCUUCGGAUCGUAAAACUCUGUUAUCAGGGAAGAACAAAUGUGUAAGUAACUGUGCACAUCUUGACGGUACCUGAUCAGAAAGCCACGGCUAACUACGUGCCAGCAGCCGCGGUAAUACGUAGGUGGCAAGCGUUAUCCGGAAUUAUUGGGCGUAAAGCGCGCGUAGGCGGUUUUUUAAGUCUGAUGUGAAAGCCCACGGCUCAACCGUGGAGGGUCAUUGGAAACUGGAAAACUUGAGUGCAGAAGAGGAAAGUGGAAUUCCAUGUGUAGCGGUGAAAUGCGCAGAGAUAUGGAGGAACACCAGUGGCGAAGGCGACUUUCUGGUCUGUAACUGACGCUGAUGUGCGAAAGCGUGGGGAUCAAACAGGAUUAGAUACCCUGGUAGUCCACGCCGUAAACGAUGAGUGCUAAGUGUUAGGGGGUUUCCGCCCCUUAGUGCUGCAGCUAACGCAUUAAGCACUCCGCCUGGGGGAGUACGACCGCAAGGUUGAAACUCAAGGAAUUGACGGGGACCCGCACAAGCGGUGGAGCAUGUGGUUUAAUUCGGAGCAACGCGAAAACCUUACCAAAUCUCACAUCCUUUGACCGCUCUAGAGAUAGAGUCUUCCCCUUCCGGGGACAAAGUGACAAGUGGUGCAUGGCUGCGUCAGCUCGUGUCGUGAGAUGUUGGGCUAAGUCCGGCAACGAA
RNAcentral lists this ribosomal RNA (1076 nucleotides) under Staphylococcus pasteuri. RNAcentral describes it as "bacterial SSU rRNA". It matches the Rfam family "Bacterial small subunit ribosomal RNA", at positions 31 to 1096 of the family's 1533-position model. The record is from RNAcentral. Lineage: Bacteria; Bacillati; Bacillota; Bacilli; Caryophanales; Staphylococcaceae.